This 54-nucleotide small nuclear RNA is filed under the name Cervus elaphus hippelaphus. Lineage: Eukaryota; Metazoa; Chordata; Mammalia; Artiodactyla; Cervidae. The record is from RNAcentral.
AGCUUUGUGCAGUGGCAGUAUUGUAGCUAAUGAGGUGUGAUUAUUGCUUAUUAA